This 154-nucleotide ribosomal RNA is filed under the name Golovinomyces ambrosiae. RNAcentral describes it as "5.8S ribosomal RNA". It matches the Rfam family "5.8S ribosomal RNA". From Rfam's summary of the family: 5.8S ribosomal RNA (5.8S rRNA) is a component of the large subunit of the eukaryotic ribosome. The record is from RNAcentral. Lineage: Eukaryota; Fungi; Ascomycota; Leotiomycetes; Helotiales; Erysiphaceae.
AAACUUUCAACAACGGAUCUCUUGGCUCUGGCAUCGAUGAAGAAGGCAGCGAAAUGCGAUACGUAAUGUGAAUUGCAGAAUUUAGUGAAUCAUCGAAUCUUUGAACGCACAUUGCGCCCCUUGGCAUUCCGAGGGGCAUGCCUGUUCGAGCGUC